GAUGAAGAACGCAGCGAAAUGCGAUAAGUAAUGUGAAUUGCAGAAUUCAGUGAAUCAUCGAAUCUUUGAACGCACAUUGCGCCCGCCGGUAUUCUGGCGGGCAUGCCUGUUCGAGCGUCAUUUCAACCAUCAAGCCCCAGGCUUGUGUUGGGGACCUGCGGCUGCCGCAGGCCCUGAAAACCAGUGGCGGGCUCGCUGUCACACCGGGCGUAGUAGAUUUUAUCUCGCUCAGGGCGUGCUGCGGGUUCCGGCCGUUAAAAAGCCUUUUUUACCCAAGGUUGACCUCGGAUCAGGUAGGAAGACCCGCUGAACUUAAGCAUAUCAAUAAGCGGAGGA
This 336-nucleotide unclassified non-coding RNA is filed under the name soil metagenome. RNAcentral describes it as "partial contains 5.8S ribosomal RNA, internal transcribed spacer 2, and large subunit ribosomal RNA". The stretch from base 1 to 120 matches the Rfam family "5.8S ribosomal RNA", at positions 35 to 154 of the family's 154-position model. The record is from RNAcentral.